This is a long non-coding RNA of Agelaius phoeniceus (red-winged blackbird), 284 nucleotides long. RefSeq lists it as uncharacterized. Lineage: Eukaryota; Metazoa; Chordata; Aves; Passeriformes; Icteridae. The record is from RefSeq and is a predicted model, not a curated record.
AAGCGCCCCCUCUCUAAGCAUGGCCGCCGCUGGAGCAGGUUCCUGCUCCAAGGACCCAGAGCGCUUCAGGAAGGCACUGGGAAGAAAGAAAUGGAUUCAAGGGACCUAGCACCGUAAUUAGCUUAGUUUUGGUUAAUUAAGGCUACUAAGGCCUCAGCCCCUCGUCUCCCACGGCUGAAAUUCCAUGGGAAUGCUGUGACCGAGACACGGAGCUCCAUCCUGGCAGGAGUUACUUGCUGACACCACUGCCCAGGCUCCCUCCGUGGUGAUGCAGAGGCAUCAUG